RNAcentral lists this ribosomal RNA (460 nucleotides) under uncultured bacterium. RNAcentral's name for it is "bacterial SSU rRNA". It matches the Rfam family "Bacterial small subunit ribosomal RNA", at positions 339 to 796 of the family's 1533-position model. The record is from RNAcentral.
CUACGGGAGGCAGCAGUAAGGAAUAUUGGUCAAUGGACGAAAGUCUGAACCAGCCAUGCCGCGUGGAGGAUGAAGGUCCUCUGGAUUGUAAACUUCUUUUAUAUGGGACGAAAAAAGGUCUUUCUAGAUCGUCUGACGGUACCAUAUGAAUAAGCACCGGCUAACUCCGUGCCAGCAGCCGCGGUAAUACGGAGGGUGCAAGCGUUAUCCGGAUUCACUGGGUUUAAAGGGUGCGUAGGUGGGUUGGUAAGUCAGUGGUGAAAUCCCCGAGCUUAACUUGGGAACUGCCAUUGAUACUAUCAGUCUUGAAUACCGUGGAGGUCAGCGGAAUAUGUCAUGUAGCGGUGAAAUGCUUAGAUAUGACAUAGAACACCAAUUGCGAAGGCAGCUGGCUACUCGAAUAUUGACACUGAGGCACGAAAGCGUGGGGAUCAAACAGGAUUAGAAACCCGGGUAGUCC